RNAcentral lists this ribosomal RNA (372 nucleotides) under uncultured organism. RNAcentral describes it as "partial 16S ribosomal RNA". It matches the Rfam family "Bacterial small subunit ribosomal RNA", at positions 527 to 896 of the family's 1533-position model. The record is from RNAcentral.
GUAGGUGGCAAGCGUUGUCCGGAAUUAUUGGGCGUAAAGCGCGCGCAGGCGGUUCUUUAAGUCUGAUGUGAAAGCCCACGGCUCAACCGUGGAGGGUCAUUGGAAACUGGAGAACUUGAGUACAGAAGAGGAAAGCGGAGUUCCACGUGUAGCGGUGAAAUGCGUAGAGAUGUGGAGGAACACCAGUGGCGAAGGCGGCUUUCUGGUCUGUAACUGACGCUGAGGCGCGAAAGCGUGGGGAGCAAACAGGAUUAGAUACCCUGGUAGUCCACGCCGUAAACGGUGAGUGCUAAGUGUUAGGGGGGUUUCCGCCCCCUUAGUGCUGCAGCUAACGCAUUAAGCACUCCGCCUGGGGAUACGGCCGCAAGGCUG